RNAcentral lists this unclassified non-coding RNA (21 nucleotides) under Dictyostelium discoideum. The record is from RNAcentral. Lineage: Eukaryota; Evosea; Eumycetozoa; Dictyosteliales; Dictyosteliaceae.
GGAAGACCCAAUUCUUUCCAA